AAAGGUACUCAAGGGCACUAAAUGGAUGCCUAGACGUAUAUUACCGAUGAAGGACGUGGAAGACUGCGAUAAGCUUCGGGUAGCUGCCAACAAGCUAUGAUCCGGAGAUUUCCGAAUGGGAAAACCUAGCAUGAGGAAAGUCAUGUUGUCCUGCGCUGAAUACAUAGGCGUAGUGAACGGGAACCAUCUGAACUGAAACAUCUUAGUAGGAUGAGGAAAAGAAAGUAAAUAACGAUUCUCGGAGUAGUGGCGAGCGAAACGGGAAGAGCCCAAACCUUAUAAGUUUUUGCCUGUUCGCAGGCAAAUAAGCUGAUAGGCGAAUGCUUACAAGGGGUUGUGAUAUUACACACGACCAAGCCAGAGAACUUGAAUUCGUUCGAGGUAUCUGGUUUGCGACUACUGGCUAUCAACGGUAGGUGAGGUAAGAAAACAGCGUGGUUAGCAGAAUAGUUUGAAUGGCUAGCCAAAGAACGUGAAAGCCGUGUACGCAAAAACGACGCUGACCUUAUAUGUGUUUUAUCGAGUAGGACGGGGCACGAGAAACCCUGUUUGAAUCUGGCUGGACCACCAGCCAAGGCUAAAUAUAAUAUACGAUCGAUAGUGAACUAGUACAGUGAUGGAAAGGUGAAAAGAACCCCGGGAGGGGAGUGAAAUAGAUCCUGAAAUUUAGUGCCUACAAGGAGUCGGAGCCGGCUUGUCCGGUGACGGCGUGCUUUUUGUAGAACGAUCCAGCGAGUUAAUUUUUACAGCGAGGUUAAGUCAAUUGACGGAGCCACAGUGAAAGCGAGCCUGAAUAGGGCGUUUAGUUGUAAGGAUUAGACCCGAAACCGGGUGACCUAACCAUGAGCAGGUUGAAGCCACUGUAACAGGUGGUGGAGGACCGAACCAGGAUACGCAGCAAAGUGUUUGGAUGACUUGUGGUUAGCGGUGAAAUGCCAAUCGAACUCGGAGAUAGCUGGUUCUCCUCGAAAUAGCUUUAGGGCUAGCGUCAUGUUAGUAAUGUAUGGGGGUAGAGCUCUGUAAAGGAUUGGGGCGGGCAACUGUACCCACCCUUAACAAACUACGAAUACCAUAUAUGUAAUCAUGGCAGUUAGAACAUCGGUGCUAAGAUCGGUGCUCAAAAGGGAAACAGCCCAGACCAUCAUCUAAGGUCCCUAAAUAUACAUUAAGUGGGAAACAAGGUGAAAUUUCUUAAACAGCGAGGAUGUUGGCUUAGAAGCAGCCAUUCAUUUAAAGAGUGCGUAACAGCUCACUCGUCAAGAGAUUUUGCGUGGAAAAUGUAACGGGGCUAAAUGUAUUACCGAAGAUAUGGAUUAUUACAUUAGUAAUAGUGGUAGAGGAGCGUUCCUAUCAGCAGUGAAGCAGUAUUGAAAAGUAUUGUGGAGCGGUAGGAGGUGAGAAUGCUGGAAUGAGUAACCAUAAGAUAGGUGAGAAUCCUAUCGGCCGUAAGAGCAAGGUUUCCUGAGCUAUGGUAAUCAUCUCAGGGUUAGUCGGGCCUAAGCCGAGGCGCAGAGCGUAGGCGAUGGACAUCAGGUUAAUAUUCCUGAACCGGUUAAGUUUUGUACACUGUUCACGGGGAAGUAAUCAAAACGGAUUCAUGGUUUAUCCGUCCAACCGAGCGGGAACGCGAAGGGAGUGAAAGUGAUUCUUCGGAGUCGCGAUUUUGGUGAAAGCCCUGGCUAGAAAAGCAGAUGUACGCGUGGACUUAGCCGCCCGUACCGCAAACCAACACAGGUGCUCGAGUCGAGUAGACUCAGGCUUACGAGCGAACCUUCGCUAAGGAACUCGGCAAUACAGCGACCGUAACUUCGGGAUAAGGUCUGCCCCCACUUCGGUGGAUAUCAGCCGCGUUCACUCAGUGAAUAUGUAAGUUAAAGAGUACAUUUUAAUCACAAAACGAAUUUUCUGAGACACGAGCAAACGAAUUGCUCUUUGAACGCGAAUCUCUGGCAUCUAACGAUGUGGGGGCCGCAGCAAAAGAGCCCACGGAACUGUUUAUCAAAAACACAGGUCUCUGCUAACACGAAAGUGGAUGUAUAGGGGCUGACUCCUGCCCAAUGCUGGAAGGUUAAGGGGAGCGCUUCACGGUGCGAACUGAAGCCCUAGUCAAUGGCGGCGGUAACUAUAACCGUCCUAAGGUAGCGAAAUUCCUUGUCAGGUAAGUUC
RNAcentral lists this ribosomal RNA (2166 nucleotides) under human oral metagenome. RNAcentral's name for it is "bacterial LSU rRNA". It matches the Rfam family "Bacterial large subunit ribosomal RNA", at positions 1 to 1983 of the family's 2925-position model. The record is from RNAcentral.